AUACGUAGGGUGCAAGCGUUAAUCGGAAUUACUGGGCGUAAAGCGUGCGCAGGCGGUUCGGAAAGAAGGAUGUGAAAUCCCAGGGCUCAACCUUGGAACUGCAUUCUUAACUACCGAACUAGAGUAUGUCAGUGGGUGGUAGAAUUCCGCGUUUAGCAGUGAAAUGCGUAGAUAUGCGGAGGAAUACCGAUGGCGAAGGCAGCCCCCUGGGAUAAUACUGACGCUCAUGCACGAAAGCGUGGGUAGCAAACAGGAUUAGAUACCCUGGUAGUCCACGCCCUAAACGAUGUCAACUAGCUGUUGGGCCCUUCGGGGCUUAGUAGCGUAGCUAACGCGUGAAGUUGACCGCCUGGGGAGUACGGUCGCAAGAUUAAAACUCAAAGGAAUUGACGGGG
This 395-nucleotide ribosomal RNA is filed under the name uncultured bacterium. RNAcentral describes it as "partial 16S ribosomal RNA". It matches the Rfam family "Bacterial small subunit ribosomal RNA", at positions 523 to 918 of the family's 1533-position model. The record is from RNAcentral.